CCCUUAGAUGUUCUGGGCCGCACGCGUGCUACACUGAGUGGAUCAGCGGGUCAGGUUGCGCGAAAGUGUUUCCUAAUCUUUAAAUCCGCUCGUGAUGGGGAUUGACGGUUGCAAUUUUCCGUCAUGAACGAGGAAUACCUUGUAAGCGCGGGUCAUCAUCCCGCGCUGAAUACGUCCCUGCCCUUUGUACACACCGCCCGUCGCUCCUACCGAUUGAGUGGUCCGGUGAAGCCUCGGGAUUGUGGCGGUUGCCUUUAUUGGUGGCCGCCGCGAGAACUUGUCUAAACCUUAUCAUCUAGAGGAAGGUGAAGUCGUAACA
This 319-nucleotide ribosomal RNA is filed under the name uncultured eukaryote. RNAcentral's name for it is "partial 18S ribosomal RNA". It matches the Rfam family "Eukaryotic small subunit ribosomal RNA", at positions 1470 to 1796 of the family's 1831-position model. The record is from RNAcentral.